UUUUUUAAUGGCCGCGGUAUUUUGACCGUGCAAAGGUAGCAUAAUCAUUAGUUAUUUAAUUGGUAACUUGUAUGAAUGGUUUGACGAAACAUUAACUGUCUCUUAUUUAUAUUUGAAAUUAAAUUUUUAGUUAGAAUGCUUAAAUUUUUUUAUUGGACGAGAAGACCCUAUAGAUCUUUAUUUUUGUUUAUUUUGUUUGGUUUAGUUUGUUUUUUUUUAAUUUAGAUUUUAUUUUGUUGGGGUGACAUGAAGAUAUAUAUAACUCUUUAUUUUUUUUUACAAUUAUUUUUGUAUAUUUGACCUUGUUUUAUUGUUAAAAGAUUAAGAUACCUUAGGGAUAACAGCGUAAUUUUUUUUGAGAGUUCUUAUUGACAAUAAAGAUUGCGACCUCGAUGUUGGAUUAAGAUAAUAUUUGGGUGUAGAAGCUCUAUAUGAUAGGUCUGUUCGACCUUUAAAUUCUUACAUGAUCUGAGUU
RNAcentral lists this ribosomal RNA (475 nucleotides) under Manduria systropedon. Its description in RNAcentral is "partial large subunit ribosomal RNA". It matches the Rfam family "Bacterial large subunit ribosomal RNA", at positions 1920 to 2611 of the family's 2925-position model. The record is from RNAcentral. Lineage: Eukaryota; Metazoa; Arthropoda; Insecta; Phasmatodea; Lonchodidae.